UGGCACUCAGUCACACCGAGAGAGCGAGAGCGGGUCUCACAUACGGCCCAGGUACGGGUACAGAGAUGCCCGGGACCAGUGAAGGAUGUGCAGGUGAGUGUGUUUUGCCAGUGUAAGGUGUGUGUCAGACUGACGAGUGUGAGGAGAGUGACAGUGACGAGAGGAUGUACAGUGGUCCUAAUGAAGAUGAUGUGUUUUCAAGAGUGUCUUCUUUUAGUGACAUCUCACUGUCUGAGGAUGCUUUACCUUCCUCACUCUUUUCCUCUCACUCUCUCUCUUUUUCUUUUUCCUUGAAGAUAACAAAGUCGGCACAGGUUUGAAGGUAGACAGUAUGCGUGUGUGCGUGUGAGGCACGUGGCGGUUGCUCUCAUUUCCGGGAGUGUCCACACCAUCUGGUCCCUGAGGAUGAACGAUGAUUCUUGUUUGUGGGGGGAGGAGGAGUCUUCAAGGUUAAGCUCUUGGGACCUGGGCAGAGGGCAAAAGCACUCAAUCCCCUGGCUGUGUCCCGACUGAGACGGAUGUGGGAUGGAUGUCUGUGAGAGAUAAGACAGAGAAACGGUGGACCAGAGAGCGGAUGCGGCACUGGCGUGUCUGAGAGAUUAAAUGUUCAAUAUGUUCACAUGCCUGAUGAUGAUGAUGAUGGUUUCUAAUGGUUUUUAAAUAAAACUUGACCGUG
This is a long non-coding RNA of Carassius carassius (crucian carp), 676 nucleotides long. RefSeq lists it as uncharacterized. NCBI's taxonomy places the organism in Eukaryota, Metazoa, Chordata, Actinopteri, Cypriniformes, Cyprinidae. The record is from RefSeq and is a predicted model, not a curated record. The transcript has 2 exons.